UACGUAGGUGGCAAGCGUUGUCCGGAAUUAUUGGGCGUAAAGCGCGCGCAGGUGGUUUCUUAAGUCUGAUGUGAAAGCCCACGGCUCAACCGUGGAGGGUCAUUGGAAACUGGGGAACUUGAGUGCAGAAGAGGAAAGUGGAAUUCCACGUGUAGCGGUGAAAUGCGUAGAGAUGUGGAGGAACACCAGUGGCGAAGGCGACUCUUUGGUCUGUAACUGACGCUGAGGCGCGAAAGCGUGGGGAGCAAACAGG
Molecule: ribosomal RNA, 253 nt
Filed under: uncultured bacterium
Lineage: Bacteria
Description: partial 16S ribosomal RNA
Rfam family: Bacterial small subunit ribosomal RNA
Source: RNAcentral